This 133-nucleotide small nuclear RNA is filed under the name Tursiops truncatus (common bottlenose dolphin). RNAcentral's name for it is "U4 spliceosomal RNA (ENSTTRG00000023850.1)". It matches the Rfam family "U4 spliceosomal RNA". From Rfam's summary of the family: U4 small nuclear RNA (U4 snRNA) is a component of the major U2-dependent spliceosome. The structure of U4 snRNA from yeast and human has been reported. The record is from Rfam by way of RNAcentral. Lineage: Eukaryota; Metazoa; Chordata; Mammalia; Artiodactyla; Delphinidae.
AGCUUUGUACAGGGGCAGUAUAAGCAUAGCCAAUGAGGUUUACCUGAGGUGUGAUUAUUGCUAAUUGAAAACAAGUGCAUUGAUAUAACAGUGGUACACAUCAAUAUCCAAUGUUUCACCACCUUAAAAAUGA